This 729-nucleotide ribosomal RNA is filed under the name uncultured Alphaproteobacteria bacterium. RNAcentral's name for it is "bacterial SSU rRNA". It matches the Rfam family "Bacterial small subunit ribosomal RNA", at positions 109 to 868 of the family's 1533-position model. Lineage: Bacteria; Pseudomonadati; Pseudomonadota; Alphaproteobacteria. The record is from RNAcentral.
AGNUAACACGUGGGAAUUUUCCUCAAAGGUANCGGAACAACUCAGGGGAAACUUGGGCUAAUACCGUAUGAUGCAGAGAUGCCAAAGAUUUAUCGCCUUGGGAUAAGCCCGCGUCAGAUUAGGUAGUUGGUGGGGUAAUGGCCUACCAAGCCUGUGACCUGUAGCUGGUCUGAGAGGACGAUCAGCCACAUUGGGACUGAGACACGGCCCAAACUCCUACGGGAGGCAGCAGUGGGGAAUCUUGCGCAAUGGACGAAAGUCUGACGCAGCCAUGCCGCGUGAAUGAUGAAGGUCUUAGGAUUGUAAAGUUCUUUAGCCUGUGACGAUGAUGACGGUAACAGGAGAAUAAGCCCCGGCUAACUUCGUGCCAGCAGCCGCGGUAAUACGAAGGGGGCUAGCGUUGUUCGGAAUUACUGGGCGUAAAGCGCGCGUAGGCGGUUAUGCAAGCCAGAGGUGAAAUGCCUGAGCUCAACUUAGGAAUUGCCUUUGGAACUGCAUGGCUUUGAGGACGAGAGAGGUGAGUGGAAUUCCCAGUGUANAGGUGAAAUUCGUAGAUAUUGGGAAGAACACCGGUGGCGAAGGCGGCUCACUGGCUCGUUUCUGACGCUGUAGCGCGAAAAGCGUGGGGAUCAAACAGGAUUAGAUACCCUGGUAGUCCACGCUGUAAACGAUGAGUGCUAGGCGUUGGCACGCUUGCGUGUCANUGCCGCAGCUAACGCGUGAAGCACU